This 873-nucleotide ribosomal RNA is filed under the name Thyronectria berberidis. Its description in RNAcentral is "LSU rRNA". It matches the Rfam family "Eukaryotic large subunit ribosomal RNA", at positions 61 to 967 of the family's 3401-position model. Lineage: Eukaryota; Fungi; Ascomycota; Sordariomycetes; Hypocreales; Nectriaceae. The record is from RNAcentral.
GAAACCAACAGGGAUUGCCCUAGUAACGGCGAGUGAAGCGGCAACAGCUCAAAUUUGAAAUCUGGCCCUUGUGGUCCGAGUUGUAAUUUGUAGAGGAUGCUUUUGGUGAGGUACCUUCCGAGUUCCCUGGAACGGGACGCCAUAGAGGGUGAGAGCCCCGUCUGGUUGGAUACCAAUCCUCUGUAAAGCUCCUUCGACGAGUCGAGUAGUUUGGGAAUGCUGCUCAAAAUGGGAGGUAUAUGUCUUCUAAAGCUAAAUAUAGGCCAGAGACCGAUAGCGCACAAGUAGAGUGAUCGAAAGAUGAAAAGCACUUUGAAAAGAGGGUUAAAUAGUACGUGAAAUUGUUGAAAGGGAAGCGUUUGUGACCAGACUUGGGCUUGGUUAAUCAUCCGGCGUUCUCGCCGGUGCACUUUGCCAGCCCAGGCCAGCAUCAGUUCGCUGCGGGGGAAAAAGGCUUCGGGAACGUAGCUCCUCGGAGUGUUAUAGCCCGUUGUGUAAUACCCUGUGGUGGACUGAGGUUCGCGCAUCUGCAAGGAUGCUGGCGUAAUGGUCAUCAACGACCCGUCUUGAAACACGGACCAAGGAGUCGUCUUCGUAUGCGAGUGUUCGGGUGUCAAACCCCUACGCGUAAUGAAAGUGAACGGAGGUGGGAGCCUCGGCGCACCAUCGACCGAUCCUGAUGUUUUCGGAUGGAUUUGAGUAAGAGCAUACGGGGCCGGACCCGAAAGAAGGUGAACUAUGCCUGUAUAGGGUGAAGCCAGAGGAAACUCUGGUGGAGGCUCGCAGCGGUUCUGACGUGCAAAUCGAUCGUCAAAUAUGGGCAUGGGGGCGAAAGACUAAUCGAACCUUCUAGUAGCUGGUUUCCGCGAGAUU